This 1991-nucleotide ribosomal RNA is filed under the name metagenome. RNAcentral describes it as "bacterial LSU rRNA". It matches the Rfam family "Bacterial large subunit ribosomal RNA", at positions 3 to 2034 of the family's 2925-position model. The record is from RNAcentral.
UCAAGCAAAGAAGAGCGCAGGGUGGAUGCCUUGGCACUGGGAGCCGAUGAAAGACGUGAUAAGCUGCGAAAAGCUUCGGGGAGGAGCAAAUAUCCAUUGAUCCGGAGAUAUCUGAAUGGGGAAACCCAACAGAGCAAACCUCUGUUAUCCAUACGCCAAUCCAUAACGUAUGGAGGGGAACCCGGGGAACUGAAACAUCUAAGUACCCGGAGGAAGAGAAAGAAACAUCGAUUCCUUUAGUAGCGGCGAGCGAACGAGGAAGAGCCCAAACCGGAGUGCGUGCACUCCGGGGUUCGGACCGCAUAAAUGAUUCACAAGUCUUAGCAGAAUGGUUUUGGGAAAGCCAGCCGGAGAGGGUGAAAGCCCCGUAAGCGAAAGGACGAGUGACAUGGCGGGAUCCAGAGUACUACGAGACACGUGGAACCUUGUAGGAAGGAGCGGGGACCACCCCGUAAGGCUAAAUACUACCCAGUGACCGAUAGAGCAUAGUACUGUGAAGGAAAGGUGAAAAGGACCCCGGGAGGGGAGUGAAAGAGAACCUGAAACCCUGUGUUUACAAACUGUGGAAGUGCUUUAGAUGCACGACCGCGUACUUUUUGUAGAACGGUCCAGCGAGUUGCGCUGGCUGGCGAGGUUAAGGACUAAAGGUCCGGAGCCGGAGGGAAACCAAGUCUUAAUAGGGCGAAAGUCAGUCUGCGCAGACCCGAAACCGGGUGAUCUAUCCAUGUCCAGGCUGAAGCUGCCGUAAGAGGUAGUGGAGGGCCGAACCCACAUCCGUUGAAAAGGGUGGGGAUGAGGUGUGGAUAGGGGAGAAAUUCCAAUCGAACCCGGAGAUAGCUGGUUCUCCUCGAAAUAGCUUUAGGGCUAGCCUCGUACGAGUCUAAUGGAGGUAGAGCACUGAAUUUCCUAGGGGGCGUCAAAGCUUACCGAAGAAUAUCAAACUCCGAAUGCCAUAUAGAUGCUGUACGGGAGUCAGACUACACGAGAUAAGUUGGGUGGUCAAAAGGGAAAGAGCCCAGACCUGCAGCUAAGGUCCCAGAGUGCGCAUUAAGUGGAAAAGGAUGUGGGAUUUCAAAGACAACCAGGAUGUUGGCUCAGAAGCAGCCACACAUUCAAAGAGUGCGUAAUAGCUCACUGGUCGAGAGGUCCUGCGCCGAAAAUGUCCGGGGCUGAAAUGCGCCACCGAAGCUCAGGAAUGAGAGAUCAUUGGUAGAGGAGCAUUCCCGCAUGAAGAAGCCGUACCGUAAGGAGCGGUGGAGUAGCGGGAAGAGAGAAUGCUGGAAUGAGUAGCGAGAGGAAGGUGGGAAUCCUUCCGGCCGAAUAUCCAAGGUUUCCGGAGUAAAGCUGAUCUGCUCCGGGUAAGUCGGGGCCUAAGGCGAGGGCGAAAGCCGUAGCCGAUGGACAACAGGUUGAGAUUCCUGUACUGCAGCAUAACAGAACUGUGGGGACACGUGUGGAAAGCGCGGGCGCGGAAUGGAAAGUCGCGUGCAAGCGGGGUACCGGUCUGGCAGGCAAAACCGCCAGGCAACGGGAAUCCGUGAUGCGGACCGAAACAUAGUAGGGAAGCGCGUGAGCCAUGCGUCAAGAAAAGCCGCUAUUGUUUAUGUUGUACCCGUACCGUAAACCGACACAGGUGGAUGAGGAGAGAAUCCUAAGGCCGACGGAAGAAGCAUUGUUAAGGAACUCGGCAAAACAGCCCCGUAACUUCGGGAGAAGGGGUGCCUGGAAACAGGCCGCAGAGAAUUGGUCCAAGCAACUGUUUAGCAAAAACACAGGUCUAUGCAAAACCGCAAGGUGAAGUAUAUGGGCUGACGCCUGCCCGGUGCUGGAAGGUUAAGAGGAGAGCUUAGCGCAAGCGAAGGUUUGAAUUUAAGCCCCAGUAAACGGCGGCCGUAACUAUAACGGUCCUAAGGUAGCGAAAUUCCUUGUCGGGUAAGUUCCGACCCGCACGAAAGGCGUAAUGAUUUGGGCGCUGUCUCGACAAUGCAUCC